Long non-coding RNA from Oncorhynchus keta (chum salmon), 535 nucleotides. RefSeq lists it as uncharacterized. NCBI's taxonomy places the organism in Eukaryota, Metazoa, Chordata, Actinopteri, Salmoniformes, Salmonidae. The record is from RefSeq and is a predicted model, not a curated record. The transcript is spliced from 5 exons.
UGGUUAGAGUGUAGGGAUGGCAGGUAGCCUAGUGGUUAGAGUGUAGGGAUGGCAGGUAGCCUAGUGGUUAGAGUGUAGGGAUGGCAGGUAGCCUAGUGGUUAGAGUGUAGGGAUGGCAGGUAGCCUAGUGGUUAGAGUGUAGGGAUGGCAGGUAGCCUAGUGGUUAGAGUGUAGGGAUGGCAGGUAGCCUAGUGGUUAGAGUGUAGGGAUGGCAGGUAGCCUAGUGGUUAGAGUGUAGGGGCCUAGUGGUUAGAGGGGAGGCAGGUAGCCUAGUGGUUAGAGGGGAGGCAGGUAGCCUAGUGGUUAGAGGGGAGGCAGGUAGCCUAGUGGUUAGAGGGGUGGCAGGUAGCCUAGUGGUUAGAGGGGAGGCAGGUAGCCUAGUGGUUAGAGGGGAGGCAGGUAGCCUAGUGGUUAGAGGGGAGGCAGGUAGCCUAGUGGUUAGAGGGGUGGCAGGUAGCCUAGUGGUUAGAGGGGAGGCAGGUAGCCUAGUGGUUAGAGGGGAGGCAGGUAGCCUAGUGGUUAGAGGGGAGGCAGG